Non-coding RNA from Peromyscus maniculatus bairdii (prairie deer mouse), 643 nucleotides. NCBI's taxonomy places the organism in Eukaryota, Metazoa, Chordata, Mammalia, Rodentia, Cricetidae. The record is from RefSeq and is a predicted model, not a curated record.
CCAUGAUUGACGGGGUUUGAUUGACGGUGCGAGCGUCAGGGGCGGGAAAUGGGGGCCGCGGUGACGUCAGGGGUGACCUUGCGUGACCUCUAUGACCCCAUGUGACCCCCGUGACUCGGCCUGACCACGCCCCCCGGGACCCUGGGCCCCGGGCCGCCAUGGACGCCGGAGCCGCGGGAACCGCGAGGACCGGGGACGGUGACGUCAUCGCGGGCGCCGCCGCCGCCGCCCGUCAAUCACCGCGCCGCGCGGGGAGCCGGGCCUGGGGGUGACGUCACCCCCUCCGGAGGCUCGGGCGGCCCCGCCCACCGUGCCCCAGCCACGCCCCCCCCUCAUCGCCCACCGGCGACUUCAUUCCGUGCCAUUUUAAUGGCGGCGGCUUCAGCCACGCGCGCCAUUUUGGUGACGUCACGCCGCGCGCCCCCGGUUGAGGGCGGCGGCUUCACCCGCGAGCCAUCUUGAUGACGUCAUUCCGCGCCGUUCGUUCCUUGUUUUUUUUCCUCCUCUCCCACCGCCAGGCCCCGGGAGGUGGGCGGGGCCGGCCGGGGUAGGGGGCGGGGUCAGACUCCGCUCCGGGUGACGUCACGGCGGGGAGGGCGGAAGGGGGCGGGGCCGAGGUCAAUAAAGGAAAAUAUUUUUGAGA